Molecule: ribosomal RNA, 484 nt
Filed under: uncultured bacterium
Lineage: Bacteria
Description: partial 16S ribosomal RNA
Rfam family: Bacterial small subunit ribosomal RNA
Source: RNAcentral
AUUGAACGCUGGCGGCAGGCCUAACACAUGCAAGUCGAGCGGAUGAAGGGAGCUUGCUCCUGGAUUCAGCGGCGGACGGGUGAGUAAUGCCUAGGAAUCUGCCUGGUAGUGGGGGAUAACGUCCGGAAACGGGCGCUAAUACCGCAUACGUCCUGAGGGAGAAAGUGGGGGAUCUUCGGACCUCACGCUAUCAGAUGAGCCUAGGUCGGAUUAGCUAGUUGGUGGGGUAAAGGCCUACCAAGGCGACGAUCCGUAACUGGUCUUAGAGGAUGAUCAGUCACACUGGAACUGAGACACGGUCCAGACUCCUACGGGAGGCAGCAGUGGGGAAUAUUGGACAAUGGGCGAAAGCCUGCUCCAGCCAUGCCGCGUGUGUGAAGAAGGUCUUCGGAUUGUAAAGCACUUUAAGUUGGGAGGAAGGGCAGUAAGUUAAUACCUUGCUGUUUUGACGUUACCAACAGAAUAAGCACCGGCUAACUUCGUG